ACGACCGAAGCACCGCACGGCAGGAGCGGGGGAACCAGGUAAGUCGCCGAACCGGACGCCUUGAUGGCGCACCGGGCCGGCUAGGGGUGAAGUCGCACCGUCGUACGGCGGCGCGGCCGGGCAUCUCCCGCCCGAACCCGACAGCUCACCUCGCAGGCGCCGGAGAGGAACA
RNAcentral lists this small RNA (172 nucleotides) under Streptomyces curacoi. Its description in RNAcentral is "c-di-AMP sequence". The stretch from base 35 to 172 matches the Rfam family "c-di-AMP riboswitch aptamer (ydaO/yuaA leader)". From Rfam's summary of the family: This family represents a conserved RNA structure found upstream of the ydaO and yuaA genes in Bacillus subtilis and related genes in other bacteria. The ydaO/yuaA element is thought to act as a genetic "off" switch for the ydaO and yuaA genes in its native state. The record is from RNAcentral. Lineage: Bacteria; Bacillati; Actinomycetota; Actinomycetes; Kitasatosporales; Streptomycetaceae.